UACGGGGGGAGCAAGCGUUGUUCGGAUUUACUGGGCGUAAAGGGCGCGUAGGCGGCCUCCGCAAGUCAGUUGUGAAAUCUCCGAGCUUAACUCGGAAAGGGCAACUGAUACUGCGGGGCUAGAGUGCGGAAGGGGCAACUGGAAUUCUUGGUGUAGCGGUGAAAUGCGUAGAUAUCAAGAGGAACACCUGCGGCGAAGGCGGGUUGCUGGGCCGACACUGACGCUGAGGCGCGAAAGCUAGGGGAGCGAACGGG
RNAcentral lists this ribosomal RNA (254 nucleotides) under uncultured bacterium. RNAcentral's name for it is "partial 16S ribosomal RNA". It matches the Rfam family "Bacterial small subunit ribosomal RNA", at positions 524 to 776 of the family's 1533-position model. The record is from RNAcentral.